RNAcentral lists this ribosomal RNA (372 nucleotides) under uncultured bacterium. RNAcentral's name for it is "bacterial SSU rRNA". It matches the Rfam family "Bacterial small subunit ribosomal RNA", at positions 524 to 898 of the family's 1533-position model. The record is from RNAcentral.
UACGAAGGUGGCAAGCGUUGUUCGGAUUCACUGGGCGUACAGGGUGUGUAGGCGGUUUGGUAAGCCUUCUGUUAAAGCUUCGGGCCCAACCCGGAAAGCGCAGAGGGUACUGCCAGGCUAGAGGGUGGGAGAGGAGCGCGGAAUUCCCGGUGUAGCGGUGAAAUGCGUAGAGAUCGGGAGGAAGGCCGGUGGCGAAGGCGGCGCUCUGGAACAUACCUGACGCUGAGACACGAAAGCGUGGGGAGCAAACAGGAUUAGAUACCCUGGUAGUCCACGCCCUAAACUAUGGAUACUAAGUGUCGGCGGGUUACCGCCGGUGCCGCAGCUAACGCAUUAAGUAUCCCGCCUGGGAAGUACGGCCGCAAGGUUGAA